This 902-nucleotide ribosomal RNA is filed under the name uncultured crenarchaeote. Its description in RNAcentral is "bacterial SSU rRNA". It matches the Rfam family "Archaeal small subunit ribosomal RNA", at positions 23 to 904 of the family's 1478-position model. The record is from RNAcentral. Lineage: Archaea; Thermoproteati; Thermoproteota.
CCUUCUGCUAUCGGGGUGGGACUAAGACAUGCGAGUCGAGCGUCUCUAGCUAUGUUGAGACGCGGCAGACGGCUCAGUAACACGUGGCUAACCUACCCUCAGGACGAGGAUAAACCCGGGAAACUGGGGCUAAUACUCGAUAGGUGAGAAUGUCUGGAAUGAUUUCUCAUUCAAAGGGCUUUAGAAACAUGCUUCUAAAGUCGCCUGGGGAUGGGGCCGCGUCCGAUCAGGUUGUUGGUGAGGUAACGGCUCACCAAGCCUAUAACCGGUACGGGCCGUGAGAGCGGUAGCCCGGAGAUGGGUGCUGAGACAAGGACCCAGGCCCUACGGGGCGCAGCAGUCGCGAAAACUCCGCAAUGCACGAAAGUGUGACGGGGCUACCCCGAGUGCCAUCCGCUGAGGAUGGCUUUUCUUUGGUGUAACUAGCCGGGGGAAUAAGGAGAGGGCAAGACUGGUGUCAGCCGCCGCGGUAAUACCAGCUCUCCGAGUGGUAGGGAUGAUAUUGGGCUUAAAGCGUCCGUAGCCGGCUUAGCAAGUCUUCUGUUAAAUUCAGCGACCUAAUCGUUGAGCCGCGGGAGAUACUACUAGGCUAGGAGGCGGGAGAGGUCGACGGUACUUCUGGGGUAGGGGUGAAAUCCUAUAAUCCCGGGAGGACCACCAGUGGCGAAGGCUGUUGACUAGAACGCGCUCGACGGUGAGGGACGAAAGCUGGGGGAGCGAACCGGAUUAGAUACCCGGGUAGUCCCAGCCGUAAACGAUGCGGGCUAGGUGUUGGGGUGGCUACGUGCCACUUCAGUGCCGCAGGGAAGCCAUUAAGCCCGCCGCCUGGGGAGUACGGCCGCAAGGCUGAAACUUAAAGGAAUUGGCGGGGGAGCACCACAAGGCGUGAAGCUUGCGGUUCA